This 393-nucleotide long non-coding RNA is filed under the name Musa acuminata (dwarf banana). Its description in RNAcentral is "long non-coding RNA (MACU_LNC010607)". Lineage: Eukaryota; Viridiplantae; Streptophyta; Magnoliopsida; Zingiberales; Musaceae. The record is from RNAcentral.
AUAAUUUAAACAUAAACAUUACAUUACAGAUUUAUAUAUACAAAUUAUUUCGGGAUAAGAGCAUAUAGGAUUUCGAAAUAAUAAUGUGCAGCUCAAUAGAAGUAAGGAUUUCAGCUAAAAUAUACACCGUAUGCCAUUGGUGCAUCAAUGUGGUGAUGAUUGUAGGUUAAUCGUGAUAAAUCACAUUUGUUCGAGGCGGCUCCUAAGGCAUAUAUUGGUGAAUGUCAGAGCUUCUACUUUCGCUACUGAUCUGCUGCUUUGUAUCAUACUGUUGCUCGGAGAAGUAUGACCAACUAUCACCGUACUAGUAAUUUAAAAAGCGUUAGGCGUUAAAAGACGCCAAGGUCCAAAAACGCUUGAGAUGCUAGGCGCUCGCCCGAGCGAAGCGAGGCG